GCUUAACACAUGCAAGUCGAGGGGCAGCAUGGUCUUAGCUUGCUAAGACUGAUGGCGACCGGCGCACGGGUGAGUAACACGUAUCCAACCUGCCGUCUACUCUUGGACAGCCUUCUGAAAGGAAGAUUAAUACAAGAUGGCAUCAUGAGUCCACAUGUUCACAUGAUUAAAGGUAUUCCGGUAGACGAUGGGGAUGCGUUCCAUUAGAUAGUAGGCGGGGUAACGGCCCACCUAGUCUUCGAUGGAUAGGGGUUCUGAGAGGAAGGUCCCCCACAUUGGAACUGAGACACGGUCCAAACUCCUACGGGAGGCAGCAGUGAGGAAUAUUGGUCAAUGGGCGAGAGCCUGAACCAGCCAAGUAGCGUGAAGGAUGACUGCCCUAUGGGUUGUAAACUUCUUUUAUAAAGGAAUAAAGUCGGGUAUGCAUACCCGUUUGCAUGUACUUUAUGAAUAAGGAUCGGCUAACUCCGUGCCAGCAGCCGCGGUAAUACGGAGGAUCCGAGCGUUAUCCGGAUUUAUUGGGUUUAAAGGGAGCGUAGAUGGAUGUUUAAGUCAGUUGUGAAAGUUUGCGGCUCAACCGUAAAAUUGCAGUUGAUACUGGAUAUCUUGAGUGCAGUUGAGGCAGGCGGAGUUCGUGGUGUAGCGGUGAAAUGCUUAGAUAUCACGAAGAACUCCGAUUGCGAAGGCAGCCUGCUAGGCUGCAACUGACAUUGAGGCUCGAAAGUGUGGGUAUCAAACAGGAUUAGAUACCCUGGUAGUCCACACGGUAAACGAUGAAUACUCGCUGUUUGCGAUAUACAGCAAGCGGCCAAGCGAAAGCGUUAAGUAUUCCACCUGGGGAGUACGCCGGCAACGGUGAAACUCAAAGGAAUUGACGGGGGCCCGCACAAGCGGAGGAACAUGUGGUUUAAUUCGAUGAUACGCGAGGAACCUUACCCGGGCUUAAAUUGCAGAUGAAUUACGGUGAAAGCCGUAAGCCGCAAGGCAUCUGUGAAGGUGCUGCAUGGUUGUCGUCAGCUCGUGCCGUGAGGUGUCGGCUUAAGUGCCAUAACGAGCGCAACCCUUGUUGUCAGUUACUAACAGGUCCUGCUGAGGACUCUGACAAGACUGCCAUCGUAAGAUGUGAGGAAGGUGGGGAUGACGUCAAAUCAGCACGGCCCUUACGUCCGGGGCUACACACGUGUUACAAUGGGGGGUACAGAGGGCCGCUACCACGCGAGUGGAUGCCAAUCCCCAAAACCUCUCUCAGUUCGGACUGGAGUCUGCAACCCGACUCCACGAAGCUGGAUUCGCUAGUAAUCGCGCAUCAGCCACGGCGCGGUGAAUACGUUCCCGGGCCUUGUACACACCGCCCGUCAAGCCAUGGGAGCCGGGGGUACCUGAAGUGCGUAACCGCGAGGAGCGCCCUAGGGUAAAACUGGUGACUGGGGCUAAG
This 1435-nucleotide ribosomal RNA is filed under the name uncultured organism. Its description in RNAcentral is "16S ribosomal RNA". It matches the Rfam family "Bacterial small subunit ribosomal RNA". The record is from RNAcentral.